Molecule: RNA transcript, 1682 nt
Organism: Olea europaea var. sylvestris
Lineage: Eukaryota; Viridiplantae; Streptophyta; Magnoliopsida; Lamiales; Oleaceae
Gene name: NAC domain-containing protein 83-like
Exons: 8
Source: RefSeq, a predicted model, not a curated record
GCCCACUUGUUACUGUUUCAAUCUUAACUGUGUGUUCGGCAAAUAGUUAACCAUGGUUUGAUUAACAUAGCCCACCCUGUUUAGCAGCCUCUCUCUAUAAAAAGCCACUCAUAAUUGGGUUUGGCUUAGCUUAGUGAAGUAGAGAGAGUAGCACCUAAUUGAGUUGAGGAAAUGAUUUGAAGAAGAGGGUGGCAUAGAUACCACUCCUUGAGAUAAGACGCUACAAAUUUCUUGCUCUUCAUUUUUGGUUCUCCAUGUGUCCUCCAAUGCCUUCCCCACUUUUUGAAAUUGAUUCUAGUGAUGAACAAAUCAUUUUGUCACUCGAUGAGUACAUACGUGGAUCCCCUCUUCCUAGUAACGUGAAAGCAGAUAUGAACCCAUACCAGUACAAUCCCUCAGAUUUACCAGUUGAAUUUUGGUAUCUCAUACAUUCAAAUGAGAAAAAAGAGUUUGCCUUUGGAUUUUGGACAGCCAAAGGAGAAACUCAUGAGAUAUAUUUGAAUUCCGAAUUAAGUGGUCAGAAAACUACCCUGAAGUUUUUUGAAGGUCAAGCCCCCAAUGAACGAAGAACUGGUUGGCUUUCACAAGAGUACAGGAUUACACAAAGGGGAUUAUGUCACAAAACCGAGCAAAAGGACUUUAAAUCACUUUGCAGAAUCUUCCUUUCCAGUGCGCAUAGCCCCAAAAAUGAUAUUCAGCCCAAAGACAGAGAGAUUGAUGAUAGUGAAAAAUGCAUUGAUUCACUGGCAUCGGUUAACCCUAACACUAACAAUUCCUCAGCACAAGAUUCUUCAAGCAAAUCCGAGGUGAAGGUCUUGAACUCUUUUCCAGAUGAUUUUGCAGAACAAGAUUGUUUCUUGAGAGGCGACUUCUUGGAACUGGAUGAUCUUACAGAACUCAAGUCACUUUCUUCUAGUUCAGAGAAUUCAAGUUGUCCAAGCCGGGCAUCUGAUGAAUAUUUUGAUUCAUUGGCCUUGUUGCGGGACCUGAAUGAUGGGGAUGACAAACUUCAGGGGGAGGAUUCAAUCCAAUAUAGGUUUUCUGCAUCCAUUAGACCAAAUAAGGUGGUUAUGAAGCCAGCCACUUUAGCAGAUUGCUGGUUUGCAGCACUUGUUGAUAUUUCCCUUUCAAAAUGUUAUCCUAGAAUCUAUACAGAGUGGUACUGGAAAUAAGCUUACAGUUGAAGGAUUUCUAACUGGGUCAGCACCUGAUCCAAGGUUCCCAGAACAAUUCCAAGAGCAUGCUAAUGAAAGGCAGAAAUCGGAUCACAGAAUUGAAGGCACGUCCACUUUCCUUGAUGCAGCAAAGCCAUCUGCUAGCCAAAAAGCUGAGUCACCUGGAGAAAGAAAGGCCGUUGUAGGCAGAAUGAAAAGGCUUAAGGAGAUUCUCUGUUUCAAACCAUUCUAAAUCCUCCUCGUGUUUAAAUAUAACAGGGCAGCAGCUGUCCUAUUUAUGUUCAUUUGAUUGAAGAAAUUGCUACUUAUCAUUGGGGUUCAACAGAUAAUUUAGCAGGGGAAGAUAACACGUCAAGCAUGUAUGGUUAAACUUAAAAGCAAGUAAAAGUUAGUUUGAAGUAAGUUUAUGUAUUUUUGGAAUGUAGUUUUAAGUUUUUGUUUUUUUAGUAGUUACCUUAUUUCUUGUUUUCCAGGAAAGAAUGUUAAUUGAUAAUUUCUCUUUAACUA